GUGGGGAAUCUUGCGCAAUGGGCGAAAGCCUGACGCAGCCAUGCCGCGUGGAUGAUGAAGGUCUUAGGAUUGUAAAAUCCUUUCACCGGUGAAGAUAAUGACUGUAGCCGGAGAAGAAGCUCCGGCUAACUUCGUGCCAGCAGCCGCGGUAAUACGAAGGGGGCUAGCGUUGCUCGGAAUUACUGGGCGUAAAGGGCGCGUAGGCGGACAGCUUAGUCAGAGGUGAAAGCCCAGGGCUCAACCUUGGAAUUGCCUUUGAUACUGGCUGUCUUGAGUUUGGGAGAGGUGAGUGGAACUCCGAGUGUAGAGGUGAAAUUCGUAGAUAGUCGGAAGAACACCAGUGGCGAAGGCGACUCACUGGCCCAAUACUGACGCUGAGGCGCGAAAGCGUGGGGAGCAAACAGGAUUAGAUACCCGGGUAGUCC
This 425-nucleotide ribosomal RNA is filed under the name uncultured bacterium. RNAcentral describes it as "partial 16S ribosomal RNA". It matches the Rfam family "Bacterial small subunit ribosomal RNA", at positions 354 to 796 of the family's 1533-position model. The record is from RNAcentral.